This 740-nucleotide long non-coding RNA is filed under the name Triticum aestivum (bread wheat). RNAcentral's name for it is "long non-coding RNA (TAES_LNC012327)". Lineage: Eukaryota; Viridiplantae; Streptophyta; Magnoliopsida; Poales; Poaceae. The record is from RNAcentral.
AUCAACCUCGAUGGUUCGGUCGUCUACUCCUACCACCACGACUCCCCGCAAAAGGUCAAUCUCUCUCUCUAUCUCUCAGCUGUGAGCUAGUUCCUAAUACUAUUCCUAUUAAGAAUCCAAUCCAUCCUGGGGAGAGCCACUGUAGGUACUACAACACACCUUCUUUAUGGAUAUUAACAUGCCUGUCUGAAAAACAUACAUAGUAGGUGACACUAGUAACUCAACAAACUUGACUUUGCACUUGUACGCACAGACAAAUGAAUCUGCGUCAUUCAUUGUUUGGCAUGUCAAAACUGAGACAUGCAGAUUCAUUUGCAAGCAUCACUGAUGUAGAUCAGUUCCUUCUCUGUUUGUUGGAAACUGAGCUUUCUUCUCUGUUUGGUUGGUGCAGUGAUGAGCGAGCAACUUUGGCAAGCACCAGACCAACUGGAAGGCAGGCCCCAUCAUAGCCAAGAGCAUGCCGAAGAAGGCGGCGGCGUAUGUAUGGUGCUUGCUUCUUCUAAGCUGUCGUCUUAUGUCAUGCUUGUAGUGUGUGGUGCCUGUAUAUAUAUGGUGAUGAUUUUAUUUGUUUCUUCCAUUUGGAUGCAACAGAUGUGGUCCAUGGAUGUUAGAAUGAGGAACUGUAUGAUAGUAGAUACGACAACACUGUAAUAGUAUAAUCAGGAAUAACGCCAUUUCCAUCACUAUUGUGUUUUCUUGAACUGUCUACAAAAAAAUGAAUUUGUCGAUUUUAUUUUUUU